UACGAGGGGGGCAAGCGUCGUUCGGAAUUAUUGGGCGUAAAGGGUGCGUAGGCGGUCUGACAAGUCUGAUGUGAAAUCUAUGGGCUCAACCCAUAGUCUGCAUCGGAAACUGUCGGGCUUGAGUAUGGGAGAGGUGAGUGGAAUUUCCGGUGUAGCGGUGAAAUGCGUAGAUAUCGGAAGGAACACCUGCGGCGAAAGCGGCUCACUGGACCAUUACUGACGCUGAGGCACGAAAGCUAGGGGAGCAAACAGG
This 253-nucleotide ribosomal RNA is filed under the name uncultured bacterium. Its description in RNAcentral is "partial 16S ribosomal RNA". It matches the Rfam family "Bacterial small subunit ribosomal RNA", at positions 524 to 776 of the family's 1533-position model. The record is from RNAcentral.